This 88-nucleotide microRNA precursor is filed under the name Phaethon lepturus (White-tailed tropicbird). RNAcentral describes it as "mir-1426 microRNA precursor family". It matches the Rfam family "mir-1426 microRNA precursor family". The record is from Rfam by way of RNAcentral. Lineage: Eukaryota; Metazoa; Chordata; Aves; Phaethontiformes; Phaethontidae.
CGAGGUUGAUCCUCUUUCCUUAACUCACGCCGCUGUGCCUUUUUAUUUACCUCACAAUUGUGUGAGUUGAGUACAGAGUGUCGGUCCC